GAUGAACGCUGGCGGCGUGCCUAAUACAUGCAAGUCGAGCGAACGGACGAGAAGCUUGCUUCUCUGAUGUUAGCGGCGGACGGGUGAGUAACACGUGGAUAACCUACCUAUAAGACUGGGAUAACUUCGGGAAACCGGAGCUAAUACCGGAUAAUAUUUUGAACCGCAUGGUUCAAAAGUGAAAGACGGUCUUGCUGUCACUUAUAGAUGGAUCCGCGCUGCAUUAGCUAGUUGGUAAGGUAACGGCUUACCAAGGCAACGAUGCAUAGCCGACCUGAGAGGGGGCUGGCCCACACGGAAACGGAGCACCGCCCCAGCCCCCUCGGGGGGCAGCAAGGGGGAAUUUUCCCGAAAGGGGGAAAGCCCGAAGGGACCAGCCCGGGGUGAUUAAUAAAGGUUUUGGUAUCUAAAACCUUUUUUAUUGGGAAAAAAAAUAUGGUAAAGUAAGUGUGCACAUCUGGAGGUUCCCAAAUAGGAAGGCCAGGCCUAACUACGUC
RNAcentral lists this ribosomal RNA (497 nucleotides) under uncultured bacterium. RNAcentral describes it as "partial 16S ribosomal RNA". It matches the Rfam family "Bacterial small subunit ribosomal RNA", at positions 28 to 507 of the family's 1533-position model. The record is from RNAcentral.